Molecule: long non-coding RNA, 318 nt
Organism: Perognathus longimembris pacificus (Pacific pocket mouse)
Lineage: Eukaryota; Metazoa; Chordata; Mammalia; Rodentia; Heteromyidae
Exons: 3
Source: RefSeq, a predicted model, not a curated record
UGUUUUCUGUUGUUGUUUGUUUGUUUUAAACAGAGCGGCAGCUACAGUCAAUGUCCAGCCUUGCCUCCUGCCUCUGCCAUGUGACCUCGCAGCCGGUCAUGUCUUGCUCUUAACCCUCUAAAUCCUAAAUCUGUCUCCUGGGGUCCCAAAUUUAGACUGAAAGUCUGCUUGGCAUGGAAAGAAUUGGAUCAACUCAACAACAACCUGGAUCGUUUUCUAGUCUUCUAAAGAGAGAAACAUUUUUAGUAAAUCAGGGGAAAGAAGGAAGGAAGGAAGGAAGGAAGGAAGGAAGGAAGGAAGGAAGGAAGAAAGGAAGGA